GACUUGAUAGCUCAGUUAGUAGAACACUGCACCUGUAAUCACAGGGUCAUGUGUUCAAAUUCCAUUCAAGCCA
Molecule: non-coding RNA, 73 nt
Organism: Desmophyllum pertusum
Lineage: Eukaryota; Metazoa; Cnidaria; Anthozoa; Scleractinia; Caryophylliidae
Source: the annotation of a GenBank genome assembly